UUUUCCUACGGGACGCAGCAGUGAGGAAUAUUGGUCAAUGGACGCAAGUCUGAACCAGCCAUGCCGCGUGCAGGAAGACGGCUCUAUGAGUUGUAAACUGCUUUUGUACGAGGGUAAACUCGGAUACGUGUAUCCGUUUGAAAGUAUCGUACGAAUAAGGAUCGGCUAACUCCGUGCCAGCAGCCGCGGUAAUACGGAGGAUUCAAGCGUUAUCCGGAUUUAUUGGGUUUAAAGGGUGCGUAGGCGGUCGGAUAAGUUAGAGGUGAAAUCCCGAGGCUCAACUUCGGAAUUGCCUCUGAUACUGU
This 305-nucleotide ribosomal RNA is filed under the name uncultured bacterium. Its description in RNAcentral is "bacterial SSU rRNA". It matches the Rfam family "Bacterial small subunit ribosomal RNA", at positions 334 to 636 of the family's 1533-position model. The record is from RNAcentral.